This 253-nucleotide ribosomal RNA is filed under the name uncultured bacterium. RNAcentral describes it as "partial 16S ribosomal RNA". It matches the Rfam family "Bacterial small subunit ribosomal RNA", at positions 524 to 776 of the family's 1533-position model. The record is from RNAcentral.
CACGUAGGGCGCAAGCGUUGUCCGGAAUUAUUGGGCGUAAAGAGCUCGUAGGUGGUUUGUUACGUCCGCUGUGAAAUCCUAGGGCUUAACCCUGGGCUUGCAGUGGAUACGGGCAGACUAGAGGUAGGUAGGGGAGAAUGGAAUUCCUGGUGUAGCGGUGAAAUGCGCAGAUAUCAGGAGGAACACCGGUGGCGAAGGCGGGUCUCUGGGCCGAUACUGACACUGAGAAGCGAAAGCGUGGGGAGCGAACAGG